GGAUGCGAGCGUUAUCCGGCUUUAUUGGGUUUAAAGGGUGCGUAGGCGGUUCGUUAAGUCAGCGGUAAAAUUGCGGGGCUCAACCCCGUCGAGCCGUUGAAACUGGCAGACUUGAGUUGGCGAGAAGUACGCGGAAUGCGCGGUGUAGCGGUGAAAUGCAUAGAUAUCACGCAGAACUCCGAUUGCGAAGGCAGCAUACCGGCGCCCGACUGACGCUGAAGCACGAAAGCGUGGGUAUCGAAC
RNAcentral lists this ribosomal RNA (243 nucleotides) under uncultured bacterium. RNAcentral's name for it is "partial 16S ribosomal RNA". It matches the Rfam family "Bacterial small subunit ribosomal RNA", at positions 530 to 773 of the family's 1533-position model. The record is from RNAcentral.